GGAAUAUUGGACAAUGGGCGAAAGCCUGAUCCAGCCAUGCCGCGUGUGUGAAGAAGGUCUUCGGAUUGUAAAGCACUUUAAGUUGGGAGGAAGGGUAGUAACUUAAUACGUUGCUCAUUUGACGUUACCGACCGAAUAAGCACGUGCUAACUUCGCUCCAGCAGCCGCGGUAAUCCGAAGGGUGCAAGCGUUAAUCGGAAUUACUGGGCGUAAAGCGCGCGUAGGUGGUUCAGUAAGUUGGAUGUGAAAUCCCCGGGCUCAACCUGGGAACUGCAUCCAAAACUGCUGAACUAGAGUACGGUAGAGGGUGGUGGAAUUUCCUGUGUAGCGGUGAAAUGCGUAGAUAUAGGAAGGAACACCAGUGGCGAAGGCGACCACCUGGACUGAUACUGACACUGAGGUGCGAAAGCGUGGGGAGCAAA
RNAcentral lists this ribosomal RNA (422 nucleotides) under uncultured bacterium. Its description in RNAcentral is "bacterial SSU rRNA". It matches the Rfam family "Bacterial small subunit ribosomal RNA", at positions 358 to 772 of the family's 1533-position model. The record is from RNAcentral.